UACAGAGGUCUCGAGCGUUAGGCGGAAUCACUGGGCUUAAAGCGUGUGUAGGUGGAUCGUUAAGUACCUUGUGAAAUCCCACGGCUUAACCGUGGAACUGCUUGGUAUACUGGCGGUCUUGAGCCAGCUAGGGGCUACCGGAACAAAUGGUGGAGCGGUGAAAUGCGCAGAUAUCAGGAGGAACACCGGUGGCGAAGGCGGUUCUCUGGGCCUUACCUGACACUGAGGAGCGAAAGCGUGGGGAGCGAACAGG
Molecule: ribosomal RNA, 253 nt
Filed under: uncultured bacterium
Lineage: Bacteria
Description: partial 16S ribosomal RNA
Rfam family: Bacterial small subunit ribosomal RNA
Source: RNAcentral